CCUACGGGAGGCUGCAGUGAGGAAUAUUGGUCAAUGGACGAGAGUCUGAACCAGCCAAGUAGCGUGAAGGAUGACUGCCCUAUGGAUUGUAAACUUCUUUUAUAUGGGAAUAAAAUGUUCCACGUGUGGGAUUUUGUAUGUACCAUAAGAAAAAGGAUCGGCUAACUCCGUGCCAGCAGCCGCGGUAAUACGGAGGAUCCGAGCGUUAUCCGGAUUUAUUGGGUUUAAAGGGAGCGUAGGCGGAAUGUUAAGUCAGUUGGGAAAGUUUGGGGCUCAACCGUAAAAUGGCCGUUGAAACUGGUAUUCUUGAGUACAGUAGAGGUGUGCGGAAUGCGUGGUGUAGCGGUGAAAUGCUUAGAUAUCACGAAGAACUCCGAUUGCGAAGGCAGCUCACUGGACUUCAACUGACACUGAGGCUCGAAAGUGUGGGUAUCAAACAGGAUUAGAUACCCGAGUAGUC
This 460-nucleotide ribosomal RNA is filed under the name uncultured bacterium. Its description in RNAcentral is "partial 16S ribosomal RNA". It matches the Rfam family "Bacterial small subunit ribosomal RNA", at positions 338 to 795 of the family's 1533-position model. The record is from RNAcentral.